GAUGAACGCUAGCUACAGGCUUAACACAUGCAAGUCGAGGGGUAACGAGAGGAAAGCUUGCUUUCCUUGUCGACGACCGGCGCACGGGUGAGUAACGCGUAUCCAACCUGCCCCCAACUAGGGAAUAACCUUGCGAAAGUAAGACUAAUACCCUAUAAUUUCCUCAGAUGUCAUCUGACGAGGAAUAAAGAUUUAUCGGUUGAGGAUGGGGAUGCGUCUGAUUAGCUUGUUGGCGGGGUAACGGCCCACCAAGGCAACGAUCAGUAGGGGUUCUGAGAGGAAGGUCCGCCACAUUGGAACUGAGACACGGUCCAAACGCCUACGGGAGACGGCGGUGAGGAAUAUUGGUCAAUGGGCGGAAGCCUGAACCAGCCAAGUAGCGUGCAGGAUGACGGCCCUAUGGGUUGUAAACUGCUUUUAUACAGGAAUAAAGUUAGCCACGUGUGGUUAUUUGUAGGUACUGUAUGAAUAAGGACCGGCUAAUUCCGUGCCAGCCGCCGCAGUAA
This 506-nucleotide ribosomal RNA is filed under the name uncultured bacterium. Its description in RNAcentral is "partial 16S ribosomal RNA". It matches the Rfam family "Bacterial small subunit ribosomal RNA", at positions 28 to 523 of the family's 1533-position model. The record is from RNAcentral.